Acipenser ruthenus (sterlet) is the source of this 8918-nucleotide RNA transcript. It is a transcript of the gene named dual specificity phosphatase 3a, with no coding region annotated. The transcript has 4 exons. The record is from RefSeq and is a predicted model, not a curated record. NCBI's taxonomy places the organism in Eukaryota, Metazoa, Chordata, Actinopteri, Acipenseriformes, Acipenseridae.
UCCUUUCUGGUUGCCUCCCUAGUGUGGGUGUUGCUCUGUUGCUGUCUGCUGUCUCUCUCAGCCUGCUUGCCAGAGUGUGUAUAUACGUAUACAUACGACGAUAGAGAAGAAAUGCAACAACACCCGAAACCGACACCUUCCCCUCGCUCAUAGUAACCUGACACUUGUUCACCCUUUGGAAUAGUACUAGCUGACUAGAAUUACCACCUUGACCACAUGAAGAAGAACUACAGUCCCGCUAAGGCACCCGCCGAAGCUAGUAUGUCAGAGUACGAAAUCUCCGUGCAAGAACUGAACGAUCUGUUAUCAAAUGCCAGUGGGUUCUACAGCCUUCCAACCCAGCACUGUAACGAAGUCUUUCCUAGGAUUUAUGUGGGCAACGCCUUUGUUGCCAAGAAUGUUAUGAGGCUUCAGCGUCUAGGAGUGACCCACGUCCUGAACGCAGCAGAGGGGAAGUCCUUCAUGCACGUUAACACCAAUGCUGAGUUCUACGAAGGCACUGGCAUCACCUACCAUGGGAUAAGAGCCAAUGACACUGAGCACUUCAAUCUCAGCAAAUACUUUGAGGAGAGCACAGACUUUAUUGAAAAAGCUCUGGCACAGAAGGACGGCCGGGUUUAUGUCCAUUGCCGUGAGGGGUACAGUCGCUCCCCGACCCUCGUCAUCGCUUACCUCAUGCUGCGCCACAACAUGGACGCGAAGACGGCGCUCUCCACCGUGCGCCAGAAACGAGAGAUCGGACCAAACGACGGCUUCCUGAGGCAGUUGUGUCAGCUCAGCGAGAAGCUGGCUGCAGAGCGCAAACUUAAAGCGAAAUAGAGGAUCCAGGGAGCAAGAAGCUUCUGUGGAAUCCGGUUGGGGGGACGAAUGUUAGGCGACCCUUGGAAACAGUAGAUUAUCUCAUGCUGCAGUUGGUUUCAUCUAGUGCUAGAAAGACUUGGGCAGAAUCAGUGGAAAGCAAUGGAAAUCUUCAGCUAAAGAUACUGAACUUAAAUGUCAGUAAUGCAAGUCGUAUAGAUGUCUAUCAGCAGUACUCUGAUUAAAACAAAGCUGUUUAUCUGGAGAAACCUCUCUGUAUACGAUAGCUCUGAAUUCAGUUUUGUACCUCUGGGUCUGGCACAACCCAGGUCAGAUAGACUAAAAGUAAUUUAUAGAAGCUUUGAUGGAUAUAUAGGAGAUUAGAUUGAUACAGUAGAUAUCUGGAGUUAUGUGUGUGUUUUUGUAUAUAUACUAGGUAGUACUAAUAUAUAAAUAUAAAAUGUUGUGUGUGUGUGUGUGUAUAUAUAUAUAUAUAUAUAUGGAGAGGAAGACAAUAGUAGAAAAUGAUUGACCCGAGGGAAGACUAUUGUUAUCGACAGGCGGCUAUAAUGCCCGAAGCCUGGAGGUAACAACUUUCUUCCCAAAGGGCAUUUAAUUUUCCACUAUGGCUGAGUCUGCAGUACAUAUUUAAUAUAAGAACAUAAGUGAGGCAUGGUUGGAUUGUAAAUACAACUUUAUAUAUUUUGUUUAAAUAUAGCUGAUACAGCAUACAUAAAUAAGUAAAAGACAGAAAUAACAGAAAAUGUUUCUGAAGUUCAUACUGUAUAGUUAACAGUUUGUCUCCGUCUCCAUCUGGUUUGCCACUGCUGCAUAAUCCAGUUUAUAUCCCGCCCGUCAUAUUUGUUUUUGUCAAGUUGAAUAUGUCAGAAAAAGUCAGAAAACAGUGACAGUGACGUUUUACUCACCAUUUUAGUAUUUGGAGCAUUCUUUCUUUUCUAUUAUGUUUUGUAAUUAAUUUUCUGUUAACUCACAGAAUCGGUGUUCAGCCAUUUUCUCUUGUGAAGAGUUCAGGGGAGAAAGGCGUUCCCUUGAAAAGCGGCGGUACUGACAGUGAUGUGAACCAAUCACAUAACAGAUGGAGAUUGUUGACUGGUGGAGAAUGGAUGUUAGGGUAAUAGUUCAAUCUAUUUUUCCUCUUAUGAUGAGGUUUUAACCAAUCACUGAUUAACUGAUUUUAUUUUAUUUAUUAUUAUUAUUAUUAUUAUUAUUAUUAUUAUUAUUAUUAUUAUUAUUAUUAUUAUUAUUAUUUAUUUCUUAGCAGACGCCCUUAUCCAGGGCAACUUACAGUCGUAAACAAAAAUACAUUUCAAGAAUUACAGUACAAGUAUUAAUACAAUUAAGAGCAAUAUACACACACACACAGACACAGCUGUAAUCAAAAGUUUACAUACCCUAAUAGAAAUAUUCUAAUUUCUAGAAAUUUCUUGAAAAUAAACAAUUUAGGAAAGGUUUCGCUUUUGUGGAUGAGGAAAAAAAGUUACAAGAAAUAGAUGUCUACAAUUAUUUAUUUCAGCAAAACUCAAAAAAUGCUAAUUCAAAAGUAUUCCUACCCUUUGAUGCUAUUAUAGUAUUGUCUGCAAGGUGCUAUCAAUAUGAUAAUUCAGAACCUAAUUCUAGAAAAGACUAGAAAAUGCUGGAUUGUAGGUGAACAUUCUUAGUGAGUAUAAAAGGGUUAGGCAUAGGAUGAUUGCUGUCAAUAUGUGAAAAAGUAAAGAGCUAUCUGAACACCUUAGGCAGAAAAUUAUUCAUUGUCAUAAAGCUGGAGAAGGAUACAAGAUUUACAAACAUUUGAGUAUCCCAAUUUCAACUAUUGUUUCUAUUAUCAAGAAGUACAAGAUGGUACUGUCAAAACACUCCCUCUGUCUGGAAGAAAGAAGGUUCUUUCACCAAGAACAAGUAGAAGAAUUGUGAGGAAGGUUAAUAACAAUCCGAGAUUGACUGCCAAAGACAUUCAAAGUGAAUUGGCUGCAAGUGGGACUGGGGUUUCCAUUUCAACCAUAGGUCGAGUAUUGCACGGUGAAGGUCUCAAUGGUCGCAGGCCAAGGAAAAAGCCACUCUUAGGAAAAUGUCACAAGGACAAUCACUUGAAGUUUGCAAAACGGCAUUUGAAUGAUGGAUAUGAGUUCUGGUCAAAGGUUUUGUGGAGUGAUGAAACAAAAAUCGAGCUAUUUGGUCACGCUGAUUGUCGUUACAUUUGGAGAAAGUCUGGUGAGGCGCACAAAGAAAAGAACACCAUACCUACUGUCAAGCAUGGAGGUGGUAAUAUCCUUCUAUGGGGCUGUUUUUUCUCUAAUGGCACAGCAAAUUUAGUUCUAAUACAUGGUAAAAUGGAUUCCACAGCAUACCAAAAGAUAUUGGCCAAUCAUCUGAAACCCUGCGCUACAAAAUUUGGCUUAAAGAGGCACUGGAAAAUAGAGUAGAUAAGAACAUGAUACCUACUGAGGAAAUAUUAAAUAUGAUCAAGAUAGUUUUAGAAAGUAGUUAUUUUACAUUUGUUACAAACAGAAUGAUGGCACAGCAAUAAGCUCAAAAUUAGUUUUGCAUAUUGCAAGCACAUAUAUGGGCAAAUGGGAGGAAAUGUUAUUGAGUAAACUAGACAAAAAACCAUCAGAAUACAUAAGCUAUGUGGAUGACUGUGAAUGUGUGGGUUGCAGUGCGCAGGUGAAAGGGUGAUGCAGGUGUUCCAGACAACGACAAACACGGUUCAAGUUCUUUUAUUUUCCUUUUGGUCUCCUUGACCGUUUAAAUAAUAAUAAUAUUGCUGGCUCUACCCAACUAUGGGUAUUGCCAGCGUCAAAACCAAGGGUUUGCAGUCCCGAAAUAACAAACACAGUCUCCAGACAGUGCGUGCUCUCAGUGCAGGUGCGGUGCUGGAAACAGUGGUGCUGGUGUGUGUUCAGGUGCAGUGCUAUAAACAGUGGUGCUGGUGUGUGUUCAGGUUCAGUGCUAUAAACAGUGGUGCUGGUGUUUGUUCAGGUGCAGUGCUAUAAACAGUGGUGCUGGUGUGUGUUCAGGUUCAGUGCUAUAAACAGUGGUGCUGGUGUUUGUUCAGGUGCAGUGCUAUAAACAGUGGUGCUGGUGUGUGUUCAGGUUCAGUGCUAUAAACAGUGGUGCUGGUGUUUGUUCAGGUGCAGUGCAGUCCGGGUGUAUCGCUGGCGUAAAGCGGCAGCUCCCAGAUCCGUAUUUAGCCGUCUGGCAAAGAUGAACACGCACAGUUAAGCAAAAAGCAACACUUCACUCACAGUUUAAUCGUCCUCAUUUCCUCCCAUUAACCACAACAAAGGAGCUGAUUACGGCGCCACGUCCCCCUAAACUACCCUAAGCCCCGCCCCCUCCGAUAGCUGGUUCAAUCACGUCUCCUCCAAUUCAUGAAUGAAACUUCGCUCACCGUACUAGGGCGAGGACUCCUGGUACCAUGAUGCCGCCCCCUUCCUGAAUGGCCGGCUUCCGACUGCCCCUGGAAAGAACUGCCCAACCAUUCAGUACAAGGCACACAGUUCCUGUUGUACAGGGCCCUCAUAGGUCGAGAGGAAGAUUGUUGAUUCGGAUUCAUUCACUCUCUGUCACAAUAACAUAUUUGGAAUAUGGACACAUGGAGAAGAAUCUCUUGUACAGUUUAAUAAAUUAGCAAUUAUAUCCACCCUAACAUUUCUGUGGAUUUAAGGUGGACAAAAUCUGAAAUUUAAUUCUUAGACACCUUGGUUAAACUUGAUCAAGGAUCUAUUAAAACAGAUCUUUACUCGAAACCCACUGAUAUGCAUCAGUACCUACAUAUGUCAUCUGCACAUCCUAUCUAUACUAAAAGAGCAAUCCUUAAAGGACUGGGUAUAAGGAUAAAAGGAAUCUGUUCUGAUGAAAAUGACUACAAAAAACAGAGAAAGGUAUUAAAAAUAAAUCGAGAAAAGUUGACAAACUCGAUAGGAAUGAACUACUGGAGGAUAAGAAAAGGGAAGAGAGGGUUAAGAGUGUGCCAUUAAUAAUUACAUAUUCUAAAUUAUUACCCAACAUUUCAAAAAUAGUUUGGAAGCAUUUACGUAUACUUCAUAAUUCAGAACAAAUGAAAAAAAAUAUUUCCAAAAGCACCAAUCGUAGCUUUUAGAAGGCAAAUUUAGCUGACAUUUUAGUCCACAGUAAACAUAAUGGGGUCAUAGAUACAUUAAGGGACUUUGCAACCUGUAAAAGCACAUGUAAAGUGUGCAAAUAUAUUGGUGGAGAGCUUUUCUCCUUGGGAUGACAUUAAAAUGGAGUGUGCAGCAUUUUCUUAUGGACACACUUAUUGAUGGAUGGUGGCUCAAUGACCUUCAUAGCUUGUAUAGGAUAUGUGUUUUUAUGCACAGGGUAGUUAUAAUGUCAUCAAAAACAAAGUAUAACAUUCCUAAUCUAAUAGAAGAACGUUGUUCAUAAAAAAGUGAAUCUUUGUGUAGUUAAUAAUGUUAUCCUACAUUAAACUGUAAACGUAUCAGCUAAAGCUACAGCACCCUCGAUAUACAGUACUUAGUGGUAUUUAGUUUAAGGAUCUGUUAUAAGUGGUUAUACGUAUGAAUUAUUUAAUAAUACAUAUUAAAACAUAGCAGAUUCCCAUGUUAAAGUGUUACAGGUAUUCUUGUUACCUAUUAAGAUGAAUGUAUUUAGGUUUUUACACCAAAAUACAAUUAGCAAUUGCUAAUAAUACAAUUACUGUUUUGUCUCUAAACAGUUUUAUUUUCCAAAAAAAGAUGCAAAUAGUUUUUUUUUUUUUUAAAGAUCUUUAUAUAUCUGGCACAAUGUUCGGUUCCUUUCAUUGCUCUAUGUGUUUUUACCAUAGUAGCUCUAUAAAGUGUCCAAGGGACUUCGCACCCUGUAUAUUUAAUUAUGUUUGGGGUCCAGGUGCCAUUUACACUUUUAAGGUUUGAUCGAAUGUUACACCAUAUGACAUUCCUAUUACAAAAUCUGGACCCCAGACUGUUCUCCAUAGCAGCGUACUUAUACAAACCUGUAUGUAUACGCCGGGGGGGAGCUUCUAGGUAUUAUUUUGACACAUUUUGAACUGCACUGGCUGUGUUAGAGAAGUGACCAAAUGCUUGUAGAGCUUCCUACUUUGAAUAUGCUGUGUUGUGUGUAUCACUCCUUUUAUCUGAACAUCUUCACUACUGCCUAUGGUAAUAAUUUUAUUACUUAAACUCAUAUAUGGUAAAAGAUUUGGUUUCCUACCAAUGUACUACAACUACAUGGAACUGCUCUGUUCGGGAGGCAAUUUUAGAUACUGUAUUUUACUGAUGUAUUUUACUGAUGUAUUUUACUGAUGUAUUUUACUGAUGUAUUACAGGCAACAGAAUCCAUGUGGAAUACUGCCAUCUAGUGAUAUAAGGUUGUUUUACAAGAUGUUUUUUUGUAAAUGCGAAACCUAUUCUACAGGACGGGUGUCCGUUACUCAAUGCUUGUCUGCAGUAUUGUGCCUUGAAACUUUGAAAUGUGUCUUAAAAGAAUAAUUACCUUCAAAUGUAUUUUUUUUUUUUUCAUUUUCUCAAUAUGGUAUGGUGUUUGCAAUUAUUCUUAGUGGUUCUUGGUUCUGUUGCUCCAAUAUUUACUUAUUUUCAAUUUUCUCUAAAUCUGCCUUUAACUGGCUUUGAGUUUGUCUGGAGUAUUUGGUGUUGGGACUGAAUUCCUCAUUGAAUUCAAAUCAUGUGAUAAUGUGAUAAUGCUCUAGUUGCCUGCCUGAACUUAUGUAACAAAGACUAGAUCAGCCAAAGUGUGCAUAGCAGUAAGAGCCAGCACCCUCUAGUGAACAGCUACUUUUUGCUGGUAAUACACAGCUGUGUACUAGAUUGUGGUGGAAAUACCUAUGUUACAUAUCUCUGUGGAAGACAACUAGAAUUGAAAAGCAUCGCCUAAAUUCAGGUCAAAUCAAAUAUGAGUAACUGAAAUAAGAAUCACUCAGAAUGACUAACAUCAUAAAAAGUAAAAAAGAAAAAAAAAAGUUUUAGUUAUUGCUUCCUUGAAUUCAGGCAGGAAAACUAGCUCCCAGUACCAAUAGAACCGCAUUGCAUAGCCAAGUUUCAAGCACAAUGCAAAUGCAAAGUAUCGGACUUAUUUUACUGCAAAGGGCAUACCGUUGUUGAUAUAUUGAUUUUGUUUUUUGUAAAACAUGGGCCAAAAAAAGUCCCUUUGGAAACCUCUCCUUAAAAAAAUUUCACAAAUUAAAAAAUUAUUUAAAAGUUGUCAUUUCUUUUUUUACAUCUGAUGAAGUCACCCUAAAUUUCAAAGGCUCUUAGAGCAGGGUUCUCAACCUCUUCACAAGGAACUGUCCCUCAAACUGGGCUGCACAGCACCAGCUGCCCUUAUGAAGGCAUUGGUCAAAGGGAUUGUUUCUUUGACCUAACUUCUUAAAUUGCACCACCUAGAGUUACUUAAGCUAUAACUCUUUAAGUAUAAAAGGAAAUAAACUGACUCGCAACCUUGUCAAGGUCACUAAUAACCAUCCCGAAAGUUAUUGCAAUUAAGCAACAAGCGUUUUCAAUAUAAUUUUUUCCUUAAAUAUUUAAAAAGACCAAGUUAUAUUUUUUUUCCAACAAGUGUAGAUGAUUGUUAAAUCGGCACCUGUACAGUAUCCAUAUCAGUUACAAGUCCUAUGUCUUUUUACUGUAUUGAAAGUGCUGUAUAUACACAGACGUUUUGAAAGAGGAGUUCUGGGUCAGCUUCAUUGCAAUGAUAAACAGCACCACUGAAAGUCUGUUUCUUUGAGUGGCUUGAGGCUUAGCUGUGCUGAGGAUUGAAAAGUAAAGCCUAUUAGGUUUGAAUUAUCACAGGAUAUACUGAUUCUGUACUGAGUUGGUAUAUGGUAGGAUACCAAUAGAAAUAAGUGGGACAGUCAGUCCCACUGUUGUAUAAUAAGUGACACCAGGGUAAGCACAGUAGCAGUUUCAGAAAUGACAGUGGGAGGUUAUCUUUGAAGGAAGCAAACAGUUUCACUGCUGUCCGCUGGUUGAGAACCACUUCCCUAGAGGACUCCACAGAUGUUUUGAAUGACUUGUUUUAAAUGAGACAAUUUUAUUUCAUUUCAUUUGGAAUGAGGCAGUAAAGAGAGAACCAAUAUCCUUUUGCCCUGAAAACUGUCCAAAUGUACUUUUUAAAGCAAUGUUGUAAUGUUGUUUUUCUUGUAUAACCUACUGUGACUGCUCACGAAGUGCUGUGUUUCUACUUAUGCUGCAGAAACUGUGAUUUUGCUUUGUAAAACAAAAAAUGUAUAUGCCAUACAGUGUGCUUUGUGCAGACAAUUGUAGCUAAUUCACAAAUAUGGUAUACCUUGUAUAAUUUAACAGUGCUAGUUAUAAAAUAUAUUAACAAGUUUACAGACCAUGGUAUAAAAUCAGUAUUACACUAAUUACAAUACAAUGGUAAUAAUGACCUUACAAAAAUGGGUGAUGGAUUGUACUAUUAUACUAGUUAGAGAUGCACUGGUCACCUAAGGUUUAUUACAAGUUUUUUGAGGUUUUAAGUACUUUUCCUGCACUGUAAUCCUGUUUUCUUUUUAAAUGCUGAUGCACUGUGUUUUUUGUUGUAAUCUCUGGGAAAUGAAACUUCCAUAGACAACAAUAGCAAAAACAAACACAAAAAAGACUACACUCCCAGAAUACACCACUACCCAACAUCACAAGAAUACCGCAUCAUGAUGGGUACUGUAGUCAACAGACCAUCAAAAGCUAGAUGCAACUGUUAUAAUAUACAUCAACCAUUGAGACAAACAACCUCUUGAUCCUGUUUAGGGCCCUAUGUGAGCACUAUUUCUCAAUAGAUAAAUAUGAACAUCUACACAUUUGUAUUGUUGCCUUUUCCGUGUGCGAGUGGAGAGCUACUUCACUUUCUAGAAUACCCUUCUAAUUUCUACAUUGUUGACAGCAUGUAAAGGGUUUGUGUGAACAUCUGCCCUGAGGCCUUACACAAGAAAUUAUUGUAUAUUUUUUAUUUGUGUGAUUACUUUACAACAACAAAAAAGGGAGCUGAUCUCCUUAGCUGAUGAAUACACUGAUGUUUGUUGAAGUGCACUUGAUUUAAGAUUUUAGUGUUAUUUUUUUUAUGCAGAAGAGUUUUUAGUUAAACAAUAAAUGGUGAAAAAAAGACAA